GGCGACAUGGCCGACCGGUCUAAGGCACUAGAAUCAGGAAAAUCCUAUCUAGUCUUUCGGGGCGGGAGUUCGAAUCUCCCUGUCAUCA
Asterophora parasitica is the source of this 88-nucleotide non-coding RNA. Lineage: Eukaryota; Fungi; Basidiomycota; Agaricomycetes; Agaricales; Lyophyllaceae. The record is from the annotation of a GenBank genome assembly.